This 195-nucleotide unclassified non-coding RNA is filed under the name uncultured Pachyphloeus. RNAcentral's name for it is "sequence contains ITS2". Lineage: Eukaryota; Fungi; Ascomycota; Pezizomycetes; Pezizales; Pezizaceae. The record is from RNAcentral.
UCCUUCCAAUAAUCAAACUUUUAUAUAUAUAUAUAUAAAGAUGUUUGGACUUUUAUUGAGAAAAGUAGUAUUAGUAUAAUAUUGCUUUCUUCAAAACUAAAAAUAUGUUGUAUUGGUUUUUGUUUACCAAACUCAUUUUGUAUCUAAUAUAACAAAUGAGUGUAAAUUUUAACAUACAAUAAAACAAUACCUUGU